Molecule: transfer RNA, 75 nt
Filed under: Candidatus Roizmanbacteria bacterium CG_4_10_14_0_2_um_filter_36_9
Lineage: Bacteria; Candidatus Roizmaniibacteriota
Description: tRNA-Ile
Rfam family: tRNA
About the family: Transfer RNA (tRNA) molecules are approximately 80 nucleotides in length. Their secondary structure includes four short double-helical elements and three loops (D, anti-codon, and T loops).
Source: RNAcentral
GGGCUACUGGUUCAUCGGUAGAACGCUUUCCUGAUAAGAAAGAGGUGCCAGGUUCGACUCCUGGGUAGCCCACCG